This 253-nucleotide ribosomal RNA is filed under the name uncultured bacterium. RNAcentral's name for it is "partial 16S ribosomal RNA". It matches the Rfam family "Bacterial small subunit ribosomal RNA", at positions 524 to 776 of the family's 1533-position model. The record is from RNAcentral.
UACGGGGGGGGCAAGCGUUGUUCGGAAUUACUGGGCGUAAAGGGCCCGUAGGUGGCCAACUAAGUCGGACGUGAAAUCCCUCGGCUUAACCGGGGAACUGCGUCUGAUACUGGAUGGCUUGAGUUUGGGAGAGGGAUGCGGAAUUCCAGGUGUAGCGGUGAAAUGCGUAGAUAUCUGGAGGAACACCGGUGGCGAAGGCGGCAUCCUGGACCAACACUGACACUGAGGAGCGAAAGCCAGGGGAGCAAACGGG